This 530-nucleotide ribosomal RNA is filed under the name Didymium infundibuliforme. Its description in RNAcentral is "SSU rRNA". It matches the Rfam family "Eukaryotic small subunit ribosomal RNA", at positions 28 to 516 of the family's 1831-position model. The record is from RNAcentral. Lineage: Eukaryota; Evosea; Eumycetozoa; Physariida; Didymiaceae.
ACGCUUCUCCUAAAGAAUAAGCCAUGCAUGUCUUCGAAUAAGAGGAAGCAAUUCUCUCUGAAUCUGCGAACGGCUCCGCAAACCAGUUGUAAACUAUAGCAAGCCCGCUGGGUCUCUCUCUCACGAGAGAGGUCUAGCUAUAGGGAUAACCCUGGUAAUUUUGAGGCUAAUACCACACCGUAAAACUCGGUCGACCGGCUCACGCUGGGACGCCGAGGGACGUGCGAGUGUUUUCGUUAGGUUUUACCGGGAAGGGACGCACGUCACGACCGCGAUAUCGAUGCCUUUCUUCGGAGAGGUCUCUAGCGGCUCUUGCUGUGUGCUUCUGACCUAUCAACUAGAUGGCAGCGUAAGGGACAUGCUAUGGUGACAACGGGUACAGAGGAUUAGGGUUCGAUCCUGGAGAGUGGGCCUGAGAGAUUGCUCAUACUUCUAAGGAAGGCAGCAGGCGCGCAACGUUCCCAUUGAACAUCGUUCGAGGGCGUUAGGGGACAUAUGAAUGGCUGGCUUAUAGCUGGCCAAUUCAAAUG